CGUUGGUAAAGUAAAUUAAGAUAGUCAGGGAUAAGAACAUAUGUUUUGAUAGUUAAUCAUCACUAUAUAUAUUUUUGGCACGCGAGAGCAAUCAAGAAAAGAUUUUUUUUCUAAACUGGCAGUUUGCCUUCAGAAACAGGUUGAGAUUUCUGAACAAUCUGUCAUGUAGAUAAAUAAUUAGUUUAACUUUCAUAACAAAUCAGAAUAAUAAUAACCUACAUUUAUUUGAUAAAUAUUAUAUUAAUGUACAAUUCUAACACACAUAAAGGAGGGUAGAAAAAUUAAAGAAUUAAAAAUAAUAAAAAUAAAAACAAAA
Molecule: long non-coding RNA, 316 nt
Filed under: Mytilus galloprovincialis (Mediterranean mussel)
Lineage: Eukaryota; Metazoa; Mollusca; Bivalvia; Mytilida; Mytilidae
Source: RNAcentral